This 2778-nucleotide ribosomal RNA is filed under the name Candidatus Omnitrophota bacterium. RNAcentral's name for it is "partial 23S ribosomal RNA". It matches the Rfam family "Bacterial large subunit ribosomal RNA", at positions 1527 to 2925 of the family's 2925-position model. The record is from RNAcentral. Lineage: Bacteria; Pseudomonadati; Candidatus Omnitrophota.
GCAAGGAACAAUUCUCGACGGCGAACGGUGCCCAACUCCACGGACGCGGGACACUGGUCGAGUCAAACUGCCAAGAAAAUCCUCUAAGCGAGUCGUUUCGGCAACCGUACCGCAAACCGACACAGGUAGACUGGCAGAACAUGCUAAGGCGCUCGGGAUAAUCCUCGUUAAGGAACUCGGCAAAAUUGCCCCGUAACUUCGGAAGAAGGGGUGCCUGAGUAGUUUUUAGUGUAAACUGGAGACGAAAAGGCCGCAGUGAAAUGGCUCCUGCGACUGUUUAAUAAAAACACAGGUCCCUGCUAAGUCGCAAGAUGAUGUAUAGGGACUGACACCUGCCCGGUGCCGGAAGGUUAACGUGAGGGGUUAGGCGCAAGCCGAAGCUCUGAUCUGAAGCCCCGGUAAACGGCGGCCGUAACUAUUGCUUGGACCUCAGUAGUUAUAAAAUUUGGCUAUUUGCUGGAAAAUCCUGUUAGGUUCACGGUACAUCUCCUUAGAAAGAUGAAGGGGUGUGACAAUUCGUGAAAUAGGGACAAUCAGCAGGAAAGGCUUUUGCAAAGGAGGUUAUAGUGGCAGAUAAUACACCGGAAAAGAUCGGCUGGUAUUUAGCCGGUUUUGCCGAUGGCGAAGGUAGCUUUAACCUCUCUUUUCGUCCAAGACCAGACUAUCCUACCGGAUGGAAGGUUUCUCUCUGUUUCAAUGUUUCCCAGAAAGAUAAGGUUAUUCUCACGUUGUUCAAACGUCACCUGAAGUGUGGUGAAUUAAGAGGCCGCCCUGACGGAGUUUGGUAUUACGAGGUGAAUAAUCUGAAUGCUAUUUUGGGAAACGUCAUUCCGUUCUUCAAAAAACACCAUUUCCUUUCUGCUAAAAAGAAACGCGACUUCUUGAAAUUCUGUCAACUGGCGGAAAUCAUAAAAAAUGGCGAACACCUUAAAGAAGAAGGAUUGAAAAAGAUACUGGAAAUCAGAAGAGAGAUGAAUGACGGUGGGAAAAGAAGGUAUUCGGAAACAGAAAUUCUGCGAAAAGCAAAAGAAUCCUCAGAGACUAUACGCCAAACUCCUCCCGAAGAGGAGAUGAUAUAGUCCGGUCUUCCAGGAAACUGGAAGUUAACAUAAACGAACGGUCCUAAGGUAGCGAAAUUCCUUGUCGGGUGAACGAAAAAUCGCCCGUACCGGCUUAUAACGGUGGAGUCCUACCCGUUGCGCUAUUACAAGGAUAGCGCGGAUAAGGGAGGAUAAUACCGUGGGAAGUCCAAGUGACCCCGUAACGACUGAUCCCGCAAGGGUGAGAUGGUAAACGGAAAAUUGGUUACCAUCAAACGCCGGUAUUUUCAGGAGCGCGUAUGGAUUUAGAAAGUUAUUUUUCCGGUUUUGUUGAUGGAGAAGGGAGUUUUUGUGUUUCUUUUAAUAAGAGUAAGAGACACAAAUUCGGUUGGGAUAUAAGGCCCAGUUUUUCUGUAUCGCAAAAUCGAGAAAAUAGCUUGACGCUGGAGAAGAUGAGAGAAUAUUGGAACUGUGGUUUCAUUAGACCUGACAGUUCUGAUAAUACUCUUAAGUAUGAGGUUCGAAGUGUAAAGAUGUUGGUUGAAAUAAUAAUUCCUCAUUUUGAAAAGUUUCCAAUGAUGUCAAAAAAACAAGAGGAAUUCUGCCGGUUUGCUGAAAUUUGCAGAAUGAUGCUUGACCGGAAACAUUUGACGAAAGAGGGAUUUAACGCAAUUACCAACAUCGCUUCAAAACUCAAUCUCCAUGGGAAGAAGAAAUUUUCCCGCCUGGGAAUAAAGAUAUAGUCUGCGCCUUCUGGUAACAGAGGGAUGAACGUGGAGUUCCGACCUGCACGAAUGGUGUAACGACAGGAGCGCUGUCUCAACGAGAAACCCGGUGAAUUUGUGAUAACCGUGAAGACGCGGUUUACCCGCAACAAGACGAAAAGACCCCGGAACCUUAACUGUAACUUGUCAUUGGGUUUUAAAAUAAUAUGUGUAGGAUAGGUGGGAGGCUUUGAAGUUCCGGCGCUAGCCGGGAUGGAGCCAACGGUGAAAUACCACCCUUAUUCUUUUGAAAUUCUAACCUCUUCCCGUGAAUCCGGGAAAGGGACAGUGGCAGGCGGGCAGUGUGACUGGGGCGGUUGCCUCCUAAAGAGUAAAGGAGGCGCACAAAAGUCACUUCAGGCCGGUUGGCAAUCGGCUGUUGAGUGUAAAGGCAUAAGGUGGCUUGACUGCGAGAGAGACAUCUCGAGCAGAGGCGAAAGCCGGGCUUAGUGAUCCGGUGGUUCUGUAUGGAAGGGCCAUCGCUCAUCGAAUAAAAGGUACUCUGGGGAUAACAGGCUUAUCACGUCCAAGAGUUCAUAUCGACGACGUGGUUUGGCACCUCGAUGUCGGCUCACCGCAUCCUGGGGCUGAAGCAGGUCCCAAGGGUUGGUCUGUUCGCCCAUUAAAGCGGUACGUGAGCUGGGUUUAGAACGUCGCAAGACAGUUCGGUCUCUAUCUGUUGCGGGCGUUGGAGAUUUGAAGGGGAGCUGUCCCUAGUACGAGAGGACCGGGAUGGACGAACCGCUGGUGUUCCAGUUGUUCCGACAGGAGCAAUCGCUGGGUAGCUAUGUUCGGACCGGAUAAGCGCUGAAAGCAUCUAAGUGCGAAGCCGACCCCAAGAUUAGAUCUCCCUCUCUCAGUCGUAAGAUUGAAAGACUAAAGGCCUCAAGAAGAUUACUUGUAGAUAGGCCGGAGGUGUAAGUUCCGCAAGGAAUUGAGCCAACCGGUACUAAUAGGCCGUGUGGCUUGGCUAC